GAAUCCUCAGAGUGUGGCAACGGGUAGCAGCUUCAGCAGGAGCUUGACCCCCCCAGUGAUGAUUAGGUUGAUCGACUCACAGCAGCCACCUGGCACCCCCGGCCAGCCAGGGGAGGGCAGGAGCCAGGGCCGCUCCCUCAGACAGGUAUAAAAGGGUGUCACGGGCAAGGAGAGAGCUUUUGGGACCAAGGUGCGAUCUCUGGGAACCUGUGACUUGUUAAAGCUGCCAGACCGAGGAAAGGGGGUGCUUCAGGUGGCAGCGGCCCAUCAGUGCUGUCCUCAGGAGCUCUCGGCUGCCCUGGACUUUCUCCAGGAGCGUGGGAACAAGUUCAGCCAGACAUGACUGAGAAGCAGUCCAGAAAUACCCUAUGGACAGAAAGGAUAAGGGCAAGGUUGCUGUUUGGGGGCUUUGGACUCGUUCCCAUCUGCUGUCAAGGCAUCUCCAGCAGGACUAGCAUGUAAAGUGAAGGAGGGUCCCAUAACCACGCAGGAACAGAACCAGAACGAUGCAGAACCAAAGUGCUUCUUUCCAGACCCAUCCAAUGGCCAUUACACAACACAAACGAGGAGAAAUAAUAAUAAUACAGUAUUAAACACUCAAACGCUUGAAUCGAGAUUCUUCUUCUUCUUCUGCUAACGAGGUUUCUGUAGGAGGGUCCUUUUGCUUUCGGGCAGGGUUGCUGUGAGGUUGCAGCCUGGCUUCCCAGGCAGAGGCGAGGCUGGCGCCGUGCCCCGCGGGCCUCCCACGCCUGCCUCCAUCUGCCGCCAGCCGGCCGCUCGUGGGGCGACUGCACCGAGCACAGGAAAGAUCGAACCUUUGCUGCCCUGAAAAGCACCUAAGUGAGAAGGUGCAAGUCAGAAUUUAGCCCUUCUGCAUUCUACAGUAAUUAAG
This 892-nucleotide long non-coding RNA is filed under the name Anas platyrhynchos platyrhynchos (common mallard). RNAcentral's name for it is "lncRNA (ENSAPLG00000028326.1)". Lineage: Eukaryota; Metazoa; Chordata; Aves; Anseriformes; Anatidae. The record is from RNAcentral.